This 359-nucleotide transfer-messenger RNA is filed under the name Campylobacter jejuni. It matches the Rfam family "transfer-messenger RNA". Rfam says of the family: Bacterial tmRNA, also known as 10Sa RNA or SsrA, is named for its dual tRNA and mRNA-like properties. The record is from RNAcentral. Lineage: Bacteria; Pseudomonadati; Campylobacterota; Epsilonproteobacteria; Campylobacterales; Campylobacteraceae. RNAcentral also lists the same sequence under 1 other name.
GGGAGCGACUUGGCUUCGACAGGAGUAAGUCUGCUUAGAUGGCAUGUCGCUUUGGGCAAAGCGUAAAAAGCCCAAAUAAAAUUAAACGCAAACAACGUUAAAUUCGCUCCUGCUUACGCUAAAGCUGCGUAAGUUCAGUUGAGCCUGAAAUUUAAGUCAUACUAUCUAGCUUAAUUUUCGGUCAUUUUUGAUAGUGUAGCCUUGCGUUUGACAAGCGUUGAGGUGAAAUAAAGUCUUAGCCUUGCUUUUGAGUUUUGGAAGAUGAGCGAAGUAGGGUGAAGUAGUCAUCUUUGCUAAGCAUGUAGAGGUCUUUGUGGGAUUACUUUUGGACAGGGGUUCGAUUCCCCUCGCUUCCACCA